CUACGAAGUGGGUAGAGGUAUCUCCAGCUUGUCUGGGGAGGGAGGCCUACAUCUGAUGUGGGUAGUACCAUCCACUCCAAUGGAUUUGCUGCGGAACCAUAAAACGGACAGAAGAAGCCUAGGUUCCCACUGGGCACUGAUCACUGAAUGUCAACUUGAUGAAAUUCAAAGGAGUGUACCCACCUGUCAAUUGGUAUUUGCGCUGGAAAUUGAUGUCAAUUGGGUGUAAAAACCCAGUUAAAGUCUGCUGAAGGUUAGUAGCGGCAACUGAUGUCCAGUUUGUAAGACAGAAAUGCCUCUGAUGAUACCACUGGCGUGACUCAAAUGGAUGUCAAUUUGAUGAUAUCUGAUUGUAGCAUGCUACCCUUCACGGUCGCACUCAAACCACCUUCGGGGUAGCUGUGACCCCCUCAUGUCAACGUGAGGAAAUUCAAUGAAGCGGGGGUAAACGGCAGGACAUAAUUAAGAGUCUCUUGAGGUAGCCAAAUGCCUCGUCAUCUAAUUAGUGACGCGCAUGAAUGGAUGAACGAGAUUCCCACUGUCCCUACCUACUAUCUAGCGAAACCACAGCCAAGGGAACGGGCUUGACGGAAUCAGCGGGGAAAGAAGACCCUGUUGAGCUUGGCUCUUGGCACUGUGAAGAGACAUGAGAGGUGUAGAAUAAGUGGGAGGCUUCGGCCGCCGGGAUAGCCUCUUUUGGCAGGUGAGUAGAGUCGUUCGUGACAGGGUUGGGGUGCAGCCGGAUGAGUUGCUGCCCCUCUCAUGAUGCGCACCGCAUGUUUGUGGGGAACCUGGUGCUAAAUCAUUCGUAGAUGAACUGAUUCUGGGUCAGGGUUUCGUACGUAGCAGAGCAGCUCACUCGCUGCGAUCUAUUGAAAGUCAGCCCUCGAUCCAAGCUUUUGUCCUAAGGCGAGGUCAG
Salmo salar (Atlantic salmon) is the source of this 919-nucleotide non-coding RNA. The record is from RefSeq and is a predicted model, not a curated record. NCBI's taxonomy places the organism in Eukaryota, Metazoa, Chordata, Actinopteri, Salmoniformes, Salmonidae.